GAUGAACGCUGGCGGCGUGCCUAAUACAUGCAAGUCGAACGCGAGAGGAGGGAGCUUGCUCCCUCUGAUCGAGUGGCGGACGGGUGAGUAACACGUAGGCAACCUGCCCAUCAGUCCGGGAUAACCGCGGGAAACCGUGGCUAAUACCGGAUGAUCCUCUCCACCGCGGGGUGGGGAGUUGAAAGACGGUUUCGGCUGUCGCUGAUGGAUGGGCCUGCGGCGCAUUAGCUGGUUGGCGGGGUAACGGCCCACCAAGGCAACGAUGCGUAGCCGACCUGAGAGGGUGAUCGGCCACACUGGGACUGAGAAGCGGCUCAGACUCCUACGGGAGGCAGCAGUAGGGAAUCUUCCGAAAUGGACGCAAGUCUGACGGAGCAACGCCGCGUGAGUGAAGAAGGGUUUCGGCUCGUAAAACUCUGUUGUUAAGGAAGAACGACAGGUAGAGUAACUGCUACCUGUGUGACGGUACUUAACCAGAAAGCCACGGCUAACUACGUGCCAGCCGCCGCCGUAA
RNAcentral lists this ribosomal RNA (514 nucleotides) under uncultured bacterium. RNAcentral describes it as "partial 16S ribosomal RNA". It matches the Rfam family "Bacterial small subunit ribosomal RNA", at positions 28 to 523 of the family's 1533-position model. The record is from RNAcentral.